Molecule: long non-coding RNA, 1886 nt
Filed under: Pan troglodytes (chimpanzee)
Lineage: Eukaryota; Metazoa; Chordata; Mammalia; Primates; Hominidae
Description: long non-coding RNA NONPTRT012530
Source: RNAcentral
CUCCGCUGCCAUGAGAUGCCGACAGCCUGUGCGCUGGCCGCCACCCCCUGCUCCAUCAGGUGCUGGAAUCUGAGUAAAAGCCUGGGCGCGAGCUCUCAGCCCCGGGGCCUGCCACCGGCUCCACGAAGCGGGCAGCUCCAGCGGCCGCCGGGAGAAGGAAGGGCGACCGGGGGAGACGGGUCGCAGGGACAGCACGUGGCGGAAAGUUAGCCCCGGACUAGCACGCCCCACCCGGAGAAGCCGGCCUGGAAGGGGCUGCGGACCACCAGGCGGAGCGGUGGGCGACCGAAGUGCGGCUGGGCUGGCCUCCUCUGUCUCCGCACUGGAAGAAUUGCCCUUCCGCAAGUCUUCCCUGAAUCCACCACAGCCCUCCAGGCCCCUUUAAAUGUCGCCCACCGCUUCCCUUGAGAAGGGAGACUAAAGACAGGCAUCUGGAAGCUGUCACUGUGGCGCGCGGGCAGACAGGGGAUCCCAUUGGAGAGGAAGAGCCGUAGUAGUCGCUGCUGCCUUCGGCCGACCCAACGGCCGCCUGCUUGGGAGGAAGAAAAAGAACGCCCCCGCUGAAGAAUUAAGGCAGCCAUUGGUUGCUCUAGGGGUAAGGACCGAGGCCUCCCCUGGGUGUCACUGGAGCAGCCACACAUGGGGGAUCAGCCGACUUCAUUCGAUCGCUGGCGACAGACCCGGCGACCCGUAGGAAUGCGCGCUGGGGCUGCGGCUGGAGGGCGUGGCGACGGCAACAGGCGGGUGGCUCGAGUGGGUGCGACUCUGGGCGCGUGGGACUGAGAACUCCUCCGCCGUGGGGAAGAUUUUUUUCCCAGCAGAUGUUGGGGUGUUACUGCGUGUCUGAGGGGCCGGCGGAAUGGAGGGGUCCCGGUUCGUGCGGGGCAGCGAGGUGUGUCAGAUGAGCUGUGGAUCCCUGCGGCCCCACGUGGGCCGGAGAGGGGGGCCCACGACAACAAGCGAUUGAGGACAGCGAUGGACAGGGCGGGGAACCAGCUGGGUGGAAGCACAGGGAAAGUGUGGUGAGGAGGGAAGGGCUGUGAUCUGCCCUCGGUACGACGCCCCAAGGGACAGCCUGGCCUCCUGAAUUAGGGAAAAGACAACCCGUCUCUUUAGACUGGGGCGCCUCAGAGUCUGACCUGAGUCUUCAAACGCCCAGAUCCCCUGGGGCCUUGAGUCUCCCUUUCCCGCUGGCCCUGCCUCGCCUGCGCUUCAAGACUCCGACGCCCCCGCAGCCUUGGGCUAAGGGUCAGUCGUCCCCGGGCGCGGGUCCGGCUGCCCUGGAACUGAUGCUGGAUUUCGCUGGUAGGUGGGCGAGGGGCUUGGUCACCCGGUCUGAAUUCCACUGUCAGGACAGCUGUGGAACCGCCAGAGAAAAGUCUGGCCAUGAAAGAAAGGGUUAUAAGAUGAGCAGUACAAUAGAGGAUGGACUGGAGUUGGAAAAGACUAAAGCAGCAAGUUUGAUAAGGAGGCUACAGCAAUAGUCCAGGUGAAAGACGCAAGAGCCCAAAAUGCGGCAGUGGCCAAGGGAAUGGAUCUGAGAUAAAGUUCAGAAGAUAGAGUUGGCAGGGCAGGUGAGGAGAAGAGAAGAAGGCCACAUGAAGAUGGAGCAAGAGAUUGGAGUGAUGUGGCCACAAGCCAAGGAAGCUGACGAAUGAAGACAGCUGUCAGAAGCUGGAAGAGGAAAAGGAUUCUCUCUUGGGGUCUCCAGAGGGAGAACAGCCCUGCCAACACUUCCAUUUCCAAUGUCUGGACUCUAGAACUGUGAGAAAAUAAAUUCCCAUUAUUUUAAGGAACACAGUUUGUGAUACUGCAUUACAGCAGCUCCAUGAAACAAAUACAUUUUGUUAUUCCAAGUCCUCUUCACAACAAAGUCUUUGCUAGUG